AUAGUAGUAGGGAUUCACGGGUUCUGGCUCACUUCCCCGCCUGCUCCACCUGCCCGCCCCUGCCCCCUCCGAGGCGCUGUCUUUGGCGAUCCUGCAAAAAGCUCGCCGCGAAUAAACUUUAUUAAGGCAAUUAGCGCCCCGCGGUUUUAUUCGCGAUCCGCGACUUUUUCUAAUUGGAAUGAAUCUUAUUGCGACACGCUUUCCUAUUGGGUCCGACUCUUUCCUGUAGUAGUAGGGAUUCACGGGUUCUGGCUCACUCCCCCGCCUGCUCCACCUGCCCGCCCCUGCCCCCUCCGAGGCGCUGUCUUUGGCGAUCCUGCAAAAAGCUCGCCGCGAAUAAACUUUGUAUACAAGUAAGUACCUAUUGUGUAGGUAGAAUAUUAUCGGUUGAUUUUAAGCAUAUCUACUAACCACUCCUCCUCGCGUUGCUCGUCGUCGCACCUACCUACAGGCUUUCAUUAAGUAUGAGUGUGUGACUGUUAUUUGAAAUAACAUGGUAUCCAAUGGAUAAUAUUUAUCAGCCUUACUUCAUUCAAUGCAUUACUAGCGACUGUAAUAAUUAAAAGACAUUAUUACUGGUGAAUUAAACAUCCAUCUCCGUGUCUUUACUAAAUAACAUAAAGCGUAAACACUUGUACGCAGUGGCUGAUAGCGUUAUAAACCGAGUUCUAAAAACAUAGUUAUGUAAAGUGAAAUCAAUAAUUAUACGUACCUACAUGCAAACAUUACGUUUUAAUUACCUUCCUAAAGUUUUUUUCACCCACCAACGGUUCGAUGCCAAGCAUUUGUCCCUAAGUAGGUAAUAUUUUUUUGGUAAGCAUCCCAAAACAAUAAAUAACUCCAGAUAUGUCGCGCUUUGGGUGUUCGAUGCUAACCCUAAUCAAUCACUCAAUAUAAGUGCAAAGGUAAUAUAAAAAAUACUGUGGGCUGGCGUCUGAAAUAAAAAAACACUAGCUUGUACAUACGUGUCUGCGCGAAGUGUUAUGGGAAUAUCAAUUUUAUUUGUAUGCCGAUAAAGGAAUCAAUGUGGGAUUUUAAAAAAUGAACAAGUCUCGACCAGUUUUCACCUAACACAAGUGUGUUUGGUUUAAUCUCGAUAAAGAUUGGGAUCGUGUACAAAAAAUACCCCCGAGAACCGCAUUCCGCGUAUAUAAAACGCGCUGCAUGUCAGAUCUCAAACAUAUCAGCCUGGCUCUCUACUGAGUGAGUUUAUAAUUAUUGUGUAUUGUGCUACAUAGAUACCUGCAGCGUCCAGACAUAUGAAUCCAUCAACAAUAAUUGACGACUGCGACUACACCAUGAAAAAUUACUAUUAUCCGAGCCCUAGUGAUGAUGAAAUACUAUCACCAUCACUUCUCCUGAAAAAACCGACUAAACGGAUUCACGAAAAUAUUGAUUCAUAUUUUGAAACUCCCUCGAAGAAAUCUAAGAGCAAAACAUUAUCUUCGACGGUCGGGCGUGCUGCCUGCGGGGGUAUUUCAUAUAUAUCCACCAAUGAAGACGACGGAUCUAAAGCGUCACACCUCAUAAAAAUUGAAAUGUACGAUAUGAAAAAAUUGAAAGAUUUACCACCCAGCGAACAUUGGAAAAAAGCUGAUAUGCGAAUCAAGCUGUAUUGCACCUCUGAUCAUAUUCUUUUCCAUGAUACUAAUCAACUCAUGUUUUCUAUAACAAAACAAAUAGCUACAAAGACAGAUUGCAAAAAAUAUUUUCUCGAGACAUCGAAGUAAAAAUAAUAAUGUACCACGACCCCCGGCGCACAGACCACACACAACUGCUACACUACCGAGACGCCCCUGUAUUCUGUUGCCGCCAACCAUGGAUUAUACACUACACUCUUCCGUGUUCGAUACCGCAUUAAUAGAAGCCCUCUUGGAUUAUGAACGUCGACAAGAGCAAUCCUCGUACUCACCUAUGCUGAGUCCACCCAUGCUGCCUCUGCGAUUCAACCCUUUGAGAAUUGUUUGGAGUGAAGAAUCAGAAGAAAUGUCUCCGUUUACUUUAGAUGUUAAUUUUAGUUAUAGUCCAACCCUUUUUUAAUUAUUUCAUUAAAUUGAUGUAAAUUAGUAAAA
Molecule: non-coding RNA, 2072 nt
Organism: Plutella xylostella (diamondback moth)
Lineage: Eukaryota; Metazoa; Arthropoda; Insecta; Lepidoptera; Plutellidae
Source: RefSeq, a predicted model, not a curated record